CCCAGGGCUGGGAGUGCUCAGCUGAGAAUGUUCUGGAAGCUGUGCCCCGCCCUGACCCCCAGAGGAGCCUGGGCCUGCGGUCCUAGGGGAUAAGAAGGGCUCUGCAUGGAGGACAUUGGUCCUGCUGAGGCUUCCAGAGGUUGGCAAUUUUCUGUAGAUUGGAUACUUUACAAAGUUCCCCAGGAUGAAACCCAGGAGUGCGGAGCUGAGCUCACAGUGGGCCCUGAGCCAGAGAGAGGAGACGCUAGGAGAAGGACCCCUCCUGAGGGCUGCAAAAAGCUUCCAGGCCUCCAUGUUGAUGGCAGAGCAGGCAAGGCAGCUCACCCUUCACCCUGCUGACUUCUGUGCACAUUUGGGGCCACGUUUUCAACAGCUCCGGCACUGGAGCCAAGAUAAAGUCAGCCUAAGGUUUCCACCUCUAAUCCAGCCCCUCAGAUGCAGCUGAUGUCUUAGCCACCACACACAGCAACCUUUUUUGUCUUCACAGUUGUCUCUGAAGCAGCUUCCAACUAAAUAAAAGCAGCUUUGUAAAGGACACAUCAUUGAGGCUCUCGUGACCUGUGCCAGGUGGGAGGAAGUGACCUCUGCUCUAUUUCCCAGCCCUGAUACCCAGCCUGGCAUCAGGCGGGGGGGGCUGUUGCCUGGUUACCCAUUUGCAUUUGUAAUUUAUCAGCGUUCUCCAAAUCAUAAAGGUUUGGGUUUUAGUUAUGCAUGUCUGGCCCCUGGAAGAAAGGCUGAAUGAGAUCCCUCAGGGAGGUAAAGCUUUGGUCCCUGAAUCAUCUCUU
Molecule: long non-coding RNA, 785 nt
Filed under: Homo sapiens (human)
Lineage: Eukaryota; Metazoa; Chordata; Mammalia; Primates; Hominidae
Description: HSALNT0161801
Source: RNAcentral